Molecule: long non-coding RNA, 1946 nt
Organism: Oxyura jamaicensis (ruddy duck)
Lineage: Eukaryota; Metazoa; Chordata; Aves; Anseriformes; Anatidae
Exons: 2
Source: RefSeq, a predicted model, not a curated record
AAAAAAAAAAAAAAAAAAAAAAAAAAAAAAAGGCCACUUAUCAUCUAGUUCUCAUUGUGGCUUUUAUGGUUACAGGUCAGAAUGUUGUGCUCAUCGUGUAAGCUGAACUAAACUGAACACACAAAUUUGGAAGUUUGUGACUGCACAUUCCUUUCCCUCACUGAAGCGUUGAAAUAUUAGAGUUUUUUUUAGAUGCAAUAUAAAAUCUCCAGGAUGAGAGAACUUUGAACCUUGCAAAUACUUGUUUUAUUUAAAAACAAAACAAAACAAAAUGAUAGUUUUUUUUGUUGUUUUUGUUUUUUUCUUAUAUGAGGUAAGCUUGCAGAUUCAGACCUCAAGUUCUCCUUGCAGACACAUUUUUUUCACUCUAAAAUAGCUGAGUCCAAGGUAGAGUGUAGGUUUGCUUUGAUUAUUAUUAUUAUUUUUAAGAAACAAUGUGUAUCUUACACCAUCUCUUGCACCAUCUUUUCACUUAAGGCAAAUGUAACUCUGGCAAUCAGGAAACUUAGCACCACAGGUACCUGGACUUUUUGAAAGGAGUUUAUAGUUUCACUGGACACUGCCAAGUAGGCUGAUUAUAGCCUUAUGGUAAUUGUUGGCUUUUCCCCAACAGGCUGCUUUCCUGUGGCAGUCUACUAAACACGAUCUCCCUCAUUUAAUUUAAAGCAUGAGACAAUUCAUUGCCUCAAAGAAGUAUGUAGCUAUUUCUCUCAAAGAUCCUAACUUUUAUUCAACAUAAAAUUUUACAUCCUACAUUUCUUCACUGAAUUCAAUGAAGAUCCGUAAAUCUUCUUUCAUUAAAGAAUUAGGACGGACACUAAUUCUAAAAUAAAUUCCUUCACUUUUUUUUUUACCUUUUUUUUUUUUACUUUUUUUUUUUCUGCUUUACCUUUGGACAAAAAUGAUCAUGUUCUGCUGCCUCAUUUAAGACCAGAUUCUGAUCACCUGUAAUCAUUCUGUAAAUGAUUCCCAAGGCUCUUGACCACCGCUUCCACUUCAGCUUCUUGCAGACAAUCAAUGUUGCUCUGCAUUUCUAUGCUUUGCAUAUAUUGGCAUUACAACAAUCUAAAUGCUUUAGCCUGUCUUGCAAUUUUUACUGACAAGGUUAUAAAUUCUCAGAGAUCAGAGAUAAGAGACCAUAACACAUGGCUUUGAUGGCUCAUGCAUCCCCUAUGAAAAUAUCUAGUGCAGGGCAUUCCUUCUUGAUAAAAAUCAUUACUCUAGUUCAAGUGUUUCUCAAACUAAUUAUUCUAUUUUUUUUCACUUACUGUAUCAAAAAUCAACCCUUCCUAACUUUGAAGUAUCUUUUUUCUCAUCUACAAAAAAAAAAAAAAAAAAAAAAAAAACUCUUAAAAAUUCUUUUGACCUAUUUUUGCAACAUUAAAUGGGAGAUAGAAGAUAGCAUUACUGACUAGGCUCUGCCUAAGUUACGAGAUUAACAUAGCUUUAUUGUUCUUUACAAAUGGAUCACAAAUAUAUUGCAGUUAUGUUUCAUUAUUAUUGUUUUAUUCAAUAUAGUAAAAUCAUCAUACUCUUCUAGUCAUAAACACAACCCUGCAGUUUUCACUGCCUUCAAGCUUCAAUAUUCCAUUUGUCAGAAGAAAGAAGUUGUCAGAAAAUAAUGUUAACCUUUGUUUCAUGAAGAAAUUAAGGGGUGCCAGUAUAGUUGUCUGUUUUAGUGCCAUACAGCUUCACGAGACCACAUCCAUCUCUGACAUCUACCAGAGCCUGCCUCAGCAGCUGAACAGAGCUGUGCAAAUAUGCUGAUUUUUCAAUGACUGUUGAAUUAAAUUUUUGAAAAAAGUCUGAUCAGAUUGAUGCACAAUCAAAAAUGGCAGGAGAUACCAGCAUGCACUUUUUCUGCAUCCAAAUUAAACCCAGGAAAAAUGUAUUUCUGUUCAUAUGGCAUGUUUUAUGUCAGACUUUUAUUUAAAAAAAAAAAAAAA